AGUGCGGUCUAUUCUGUUGUUAUCUAGCUUGCACCUUUUUGCGUAUUUCAUUUUAGUGUGUGCGUGCGCCACUGUUCCCCAUAGUUCGUCGGAGGGAUAGUGGCCGCGGCGGGGGAUGAUAGCGUAAGGUCAUGUCCUCGGAGGGUGGGGGUGGUGCCGGGAGUGAGUAGGGGAGCAGGGGGUGGCCAUGCGGGUGGGGUGGGAGGUAAGGGUGGAAAGAGGGCAUCGGACGCUCAUAGAUUAAGGAUUGGGUCAUGGAACAUAGGCACACUGACGGGUAAGUCCAUAGAGUUGGCGAAGGUUCUUCAGGAGAGGAGGGUAAACAUAGCGUGU
Molecule: long non-coding RNA, 333 nt
Filed under: Nicotiana benthamiana
Lineage: Eukaryota; Viridiplantae; Streptophyta; Magnoliopsida; Solanales; Solanaceae
Description: long non-coding RNA (NBEN_LNC001914)
Source: RNAcentral